AAGGAGGCAGGAAGUUGAAGAGAGCCUAGGAGGCGCCUGGGUUCUGGCCAAGGGCGUGCCUGAAGUCCUGGGGGAGCACGGAGACAGAAGGCUCGGCAAAAAAGAAUCAGCAGAAAUCUCGAGCUCUGGUAUGAAUCGCAUCUCCAGGCGGGAGGACUGAUUGGCAGGCCUGGAGAACUGAGGGACCAAAGGGAAACACUAAGUAACGCCAAAACCAUAUCUGCAGGGCAACUUCUAACCCAGGGCAAGAGAGCAAAGAUCUUUGGACUAGGGGGCAGAGGGGGAAGAGCAGAAGCUUGGAGGCUUCCAAAAGACUGGAAACUUGGAAGAGGGGCUUUAUGAAUGAAUUGUGCACCCCCCCCCCCCAAAAAAAAGAUGCAGAACUAACUGAUACAGGGAUCAACUGGCCUUCAUAGAUGGCAUCUUGAAGAAAUGUCUUCGGG
This is a long non-coding RNA of Peromyscus leucopus (white-footed mouse), 443 nucleotides long. RefSeq lists it as uncharacterized. The transcript has 3 exons. NCBI's taxonomy places the organism in Eukaryota, Metazoa, Chordata, Mammalia, Rodentia, Cricetidae. The record is from RefSeq and is a predicted model, not a curated record.